UACAGAGGGUGCAAGCGUUAAUCGGAAUUACUGGGCGUAAAGCGUGCGCAGGCGGCUUUGCAAGACAGAUGUGAAAUCCCCGGGCUCAACCUGGGAACUGCAUUUGUGACUGCAAGGCUAGAGUACGGCAGAGGGGGAUGGAAUUCCGCGUGUAGCAGUGAAAUGCGUAGAUAUGCGGAGGAACACCGAUGGCGAAGGCAAUCCCCUGGACCUGUACUGACGCUCAUGCACGAAAGCGUGGGGAGCAAACAGG
Molecule: ribosomal RNA, 253 nt
Filed under: uncultured bacterium
Lineage: Bacteria
Description: partial 16S ribosomal RNA
Rfam family: Bacterial small subunit ribosomal RNA
Source: RNAcentral